Molecule: ribosomal RNA, 1223 nt
Filed under: fungal endophyte
Lineage: Eukaryota; Fungi
Also listed under: 1 other name
Description: eukaryotic LSU rRNA
Rfam family: Eukaryotic large subunit ribosomal RNA
Source: RNAcentral
AACAGCUCAAAUUUGAAAUCUGGCUCUCGGGCCCGAGUUGUAAUUUGUAGAGGAUGCUUUUGAUGCGGUGCCUUCCGAGUUCCCUGGAACGGGACGCCAUAGAGGGUGAGAGCCCCGUCUGGUUGGAUGCCAAAUCUCUGUAAAGCUCCUUCAACGAGUCGAGUAGUUUGGGAAUGCUGCUCUAAAUGGGAGGUAUAUGUCUUCUAAAGCUAAAUACCGGCCAGAGACCGAUAGCGCACAAGUAGAGUGAUCGAAAGAUGAAAAGCACUUUGAAAAGAGAGUUAAAAAGUACGUGAAAUUGUUGAAAGGGAAGCGUUUAUGACCAGACUUGGGCUUGUUUAAUCAUCCGGGCUUCUGCCCGGUGCACUUGUUCAGCCCAGGCCAGCAUCAUUUUUCGCCGGGGGAUAAAGGCGGCGGGAAUGUGGCUCUCUUCGGGGAGUGUUAUAGCCCAUCGUGUAAUACCCUGGCGGGGAAUGAGGUUCGCGCAUCUGCAAGGAUGCUGGCGUAAUGGUCAUCAACGACCCGUCUUGAAACACGGACCCAAGGAGUCGUCUUCGUAUGCGAGUGUUCGGGUGUCAAACCCCUACGCGUAAAUGAAAGUGAACGCAGGUGAGAGCUUCGGCGCAUCAUCGACCGAUCCUGAUGUUCUCGGAUGGAUUUGAGUAAGAGCAUACGGGGCCGGACCCGAAAGAAGGUGAACUAUGCCUGUAUAGGGUGAAGCCAGAGGAAACUCUGGUGGAGGCUCGCAGCGGUUCUGACGUGCAAAUCGAUCGUCAAAUAUGGGCAUGGGGGCGAAAGACUAAUCGAACCUUCUAGUAGCUGGUUUCCGCCGAAGUUUCCCUCAGGAUAGCAGUGUUGAACUCAGUUUUAUGAGGUAAAGCGAAUGAUUAGGGACUCGGGGGCGCUAUAUUGCCUUCAUCCAUUCUCAAACUUUAAAUAUGUAAGAAGCUCUUGUUGCUUUAUUGAACGUGAGCAUUCGAAUGUAUCAACACUAGUGGGCCAUUUUUGGUAAGCAGAACUGGCGAUGCGGGAUGAACCGAACGCGAGGUUAAGGUGCCAGAGUAGACGCUCAUCAGACACCACAAAAGGUGUUAGUACAUCUUGACAGCAGGACGGUGGCCAUGGAAGUCGGAAUCCGCUAAGGACUGUGUAACAACUCACCUGCCGAAUGUACUAGCCCUGAAAAUGGAUGGCGCUCAAGCGUCUCACCCAUACCUCGCCCU